RNAcentral lists this ribosomal RNA (253 nucleotides) under uncultured bacterium. Its description in RNAcentral is "partial 16S ribosomal RNA". It matches the Rfam family "Bacterial small subunit ribosomal RNA", at positions 524 to 776 of the family's 1533-position model. The record is from RNAcentral.
UACGUAGGUGGCAAGCGUUGUCCGGAUUUACUGGGCGUAAAGAGCGCGCAGGCGGUUGAUUAAGUCGAAUGUGAAAGCCCCCGGCUCAACUGGGGAGGGUCAUUCGAUACUGAUUGACUUGAAGGCAGGAGAGAGAAGUGGAAUUCCCGGUGUAGUGGUGAAAUGCGUAGAUAUCGGGAGGAACACCAAUGGCGAAAGCAGCUCUCUGGGACGGUACUGACGCUGAGACGCGAAAGCGUGGGGAGCGAACAGG